This 546-nucleotide ribosomal RNA is filed under the name Triticum aestivum (bread wheat). Its description in RNAcentral is "partial small subunit ribosomal RNA". The record is from RNAcentral. Lineage: Eukaryota; Viridiplantae; Streptophyta; Magnoliopsida; Poales; Poaceae.
AUGUUGAUGCACCAAGUCCUUCUAAAAAGAAGAAAAAGAAAAAUGAUAGGACUUUGCAUGCUUCUAGUGAACCUGUUGUUGACGCACCUGAGAAUCCCAAUGAUAUUUCUAUUUCUGAUGCUGAAACACAAUCUGGUAAUGAACAUGAACCUAGUGAUAAUGUUAAUGAUGAUGUUCACGUUGAUGCUCAACCUAGUAAACAAUGAUGUAGAAAUUGAACCUGCUGUUGAUCUUGAUAACCCACAAUCAAAGAAUCAACCUUAUGAUAAGAGAGACUUCGUUGCUAGGAAGCACGGUAAAGAAAGAGAACCAUGGGUUCAGAAACCCAUGCCUUUUCCUCCUAAACCAUCCAAGAAAAAGGAUGAUGAGGAUUUUGAGCGCUUUGCUGAAAUGAUUAGACCUAUCUUCUUGCGUAUGCGUUUGACUGAUAUGCUUAAAAUGAAUCCUUAUGCUAAGUAUAUGAAAGAAAUUGUUACAAAUAAGAGAAAGAUACCGGAAGCUGAAAUUUCCACCAUGCUUGCUAAUUAUACUUUUAAGGGUGGAUAG